Molecule: unclassified non-coding RNA, 215 nt
Filed under: uncultured fungus
Lineage: Eukaryota; Fungi
Description: sequence contains ITS1, 5.8S rRNA gene
Source: RNAcentral
UUGAAACAUUGUAAAGAUCGGUUGAGCUGGCUCUUCACGGGCAAGUGCUCGCCUUUCUUUCAAUCUUCAUCCACCUGUGCACAUUUUGUAGAGAGGACUGAGAACGUACCUUGUAACAGAGGUACAAGUAUCGGGCUUCUCUAUGUUUUACACACUCAAAUGUAUGUUUUUGAAUGUCUUUUAUAGGGACUUAACUGGCCCUUUAAAAACAAAUA